GGAAAGGCCCUGCUUUUGUGGGGUGCUCGAGUGGCGAACGGGUGAGUAACACGUGAGUAACCUGCCCUUGACUUUGGGAUAACUUCAGGAAACUGGGGCUAAUACCGGAUAGGAGCUCCUGCUGCAUGGUGGGGGUUGGAAAGUUUCGGCGGUUGGGGAUGGACUCGCGGCUUAUCAGCUUGUUGGUGGGGUAGUGGCUUACCAAGGCUUUGACGGGUAGCCGGCCUGAGAGGGUGACCGGCCACAUUGGGACUGAGAUACGGCCCAGACUCCUACGGGAGGCAGCAGUGGGGAAUAUUGCACAAUGGGCGGAAGCCUGAUGCAGCAACGCCGCGUGCGGGAUGACGGCCUUCGGGUUGUAAACCGCUUUCGCCUGUGACGAAGCGUGAGUGACGGUAAUGGGUAAAGAAGCACCGGCUAACUACGUGCCAGCAGCCGCGGUGAUACGUAGGGUGCGAGCGUUGUCCGGAUUUAU
RNAcentral lists this ribosomal RNA (475 nucleotides) under uncultured Propionibacterium sp. Its description in RNAcentral is "bacterial SSU rRNA". It matches the Rfam family "Bacterial small subunit ribosomal RNA", at positions 68 to 554 of the family's 1533-position model. The record is from RNAcentral. Lineage: Bacteria; Bacillati; Actinomycetota; Actinomycetes; Propionibacteriales; Propionibacteriaceae.